GGGUCAGUAGGUUGGUCGUGCCACCGGUACGUACUGGUCUCACUGAUUCCUCCUUCCUGAAGAACCGUAAUGCCAUUAAUUUGGUGUUGCGGGGAAACUGGACUGUUACUUUGAAAAAAUUAGAGUGUUUAAAGCAAGCUAACGCUUGAAUACAUUAGCAUGGAAUAAUGAAAUAGGACGUUCGAUCCUAUUUUGCUGGUUUCUAGGAUUGACGUA
Molecule: ribosomal RNA, 216 nt
Filed under: Glomeromycotina sp.
Lineage: Eukaryota; Fungi; Glomeromycota
Description: partial small subunit ribosomal RNA
Rfam family: Eukaryotic small subunit ribosomal RNA (bases 40-216)
Source: RNAcentral